UGGUCAUGACUUCAGCAAUUUUGUGAUUUUUUAUAAAAUGGCUAUUGUUAUGUCCUCG
This 58-nucleotide microRNA precursor is filed under the name Blattella germanica (German cockroach). RNAcentral describes it as "Bge-Novel-11_pre stem-loop". The record is from RNAcentral. Lineage: Eukaryota; Metazoa; Arthropoda; Insecta; Blattodea; Blattellidae.